UAGGGAAUCUUCGGCAAUGGACGAAAGUCUGACCGAGCAACGCCGCGUGAGUGAAGAAGGUUUUCGGAUCGUAAAACUCUGUUGUUAGAGAAGAACAAGGACGUUAGUAACUGAACGUCCCCUGACGGUAUCUAACCAGAAAGCCACGGCUAACUACGUGCCAGCAGCCGCGGUAAUACGUAGGUGGCAAGCGUUGUCCGGAUUUAUUGGGCGUAAAGCGAGCGCAGGAGGUUUCUUAAGUGUGAUGUGAAAGCCCCCGGCUCAACCGGGGAGGGUCAUUGGAAACUGGGAGACUAGAGUGCAGAAGAGGAGAGUGGAAUUCCAGGUGUAGCGGUGAAAUGCGUAGAUAUAUGGAGGAACACCAGUGGCGAAGGCGGCUAUCUGGUCUGUAAAUGACGCUGAGGGACGAAAGCGUGGGGAGCAAACGGG
Molecule: ribosomal RNA, 429 nt
Filed under: Gemmatimonadota bacterium
Lineage: Bacteria; Pseudomonadati; Gemmatimonadota
Description: Gemmatimonadetes bacterium partial 16S ribosomal RNA
Rfam family: Bacterial small subunit ribosomal RNA
Source: RNAcentral